This 1316-nucleotide ribosomal RNA is filed under the name uncultured bacterium. RNAcentral's name for it is "partial 16S ribosomal RNA". It matches the Rfam family "Bacterial small subunit ribosomal RNA", at positions 97 to 1409 of the family's 1533-position model. The record is from RNAcentral.
GGCGGACGGGUGAGUAAUGCCUAGGAAUCUGCCUGGUAGUGGGGGAUAACGUCCGGAAACGGGCGCUAAUACCGCAUACGUCCUGAGGGAGAAAGUGGGGGAUCUUCGGACCUCACGCUAUCAGAUGAGCCUAGGUCGGAUUAGCUAGUUGGUGGGGUAAAGGCCUACCAAGGCGACGAUCCGUAACUGGUCUGAGAGGAUGAUCAGUCACACUGGAACUGAGACACGGUCCAGACUCCUACGGGAGGCAGCAGUGGGGAAUAUUGGACAAUGGGCGAAAGCCUGAUCCAGCCAUGCCGCGUGUGUGAAGAAGGUCUUCGGAUUGUAAAGCACUUUAAGUUGGGAGGAAGGGCAGUAAGUUAAUACCUUGCUGUUUUGACGUUACCAACAGAAUAAGCACCGGCUAACUUCGUGCCAGCAGCCGCGGUAAUACGGAGGGUGCAAGCGUUAAUCGGAAUUACUGGGCGUAAAGAGUACGUAGGUGGUUUAUUUAGUCAGAUGUGAAAUCCCUGAGCUUAACUUAGGAACUGCAUUUGAAACUGAUAGACUAGAGUUUCGUAGAGGGGGGUAGAAUUCCAGGUGUAGCGGUGAAAUGCGUAGAGAUCUGGAGGAAUACCAGUGGCGAAGGCGGCCCCCUGGGCGAAAACUGACACUCAGGUACGAAAGCAUGGGGAGCAAACAGGAUUAGAUACCCUGGUAGUCCAUGCUGUAAACGAUGUCGAUUUGAAGGUUGUGACUUUGAGUUAUGGCUUUCGGAGCUAACGCGUUAAAUCGACCGCCUGGGGAGUACGACCGCAAGGUUAAAACUCAAAUGAAUUGACGGGGGCCCGCACAAGCGGUGGAGCAUGUGGUUUAAUUCGAUGCAACACGAAGAACCUUACCUACUCUUGACAUCCAAAGAACCAUAUAGAGAUAUAUGGGUGCCUUCGGGAACUUUGAGACAGGUGCUGCAUGGCUGUCGUCAGCUCGUGUUGUGAAAUGUUGGGUUAAGUCCCGCAACGAGCGCAACCCUUAUCCUUUGUUGCCAUCGAGUAAAGUCGGGAACUCAAAGGAGACUGCCGGUGAUAAACCGGAGGAAGGUGAGGAUGACGUCAAGUCAUCAUGGCCCUUAUGAGUAGGGCUACAAACGUGCUACAAUGGCGUAUACAAAGAGAAGCGAUCUUGCGAAAGUUAGCAAACCUCAUAAAGUACGUCUUAGUCCGGAUUGGAGUCUGCAACUCGACUCCAUGAAGUCGGAAUCGCUAGUAAUCGUGGAUCAGAAUGUCACGGUGAAUACGUUCCCGGGCCUUGUACACACCGCCCGUCACACCAUGGAA